Otolemur garnettii (small-eared galago) is the source of this 104-nucleotide small nuclear RNA. NCBI's taxonomy places the organism in Eukaryota, Metazoa, Chordata, Mammalia, Primates, Galagidae. The record is from Ensembl.
GUGCUUGCUUCAGCAGCAUAUAUGCUAAAAUUGGAAUAUGGAGAAGAUUAGCAUGGCCCCUGCACAAGGAUGACACACAAAUUCAUGAAGCAUUCCAUAUGUUU